This 254-nucleotide ribosomal RNA is filed under the name uncultured bacterium. RNAcentral's name for it is "partial 16S ribosomal RNA". It matches the Rfam family "Bacterial small subunit ribosomal RNA", at positions 524 to 776 of the family's 1533-position model. The record is from RNAcentral.
UACGUAGGGGGCAAGCGUUGUUCGGAUUCACUGGGCGUAAAGGGCGCGUAGGCGGUCAGCACAAGUCAGUUGUGAAAUCUCCGGGCUUAACUCGGAAAGGUCAACUGAUACUGUGCGACUAGAGUGCAGAAGGGGCAACUGGAAUUCUCGGUGUAGCGGUGAAAUGCGUAGAUAUCGAGAGGAACACCUGCGGCGAAGGCGGGUUGCUGGGCUGACACUGACGCUGAUGCGCGAAAGCCAGGGGAGCGAACGGG